Molecule: long non-coding RNA, 611 nt
Organism: Solanum pennellii
Lineage: Eukaryota; Viridiplantae; Streptophyta; Magnoliopsida; Solanales; Solanaceae
Exons: 2
Source: RefSeq, a predicted model, not a curated record
GCUUUUCUAAACACUUGCUUCUUCUCUAGUCUAACAUGCUGCUGGACAUUUAUUUUGCAUGUUUUACUGCAUUAUACAAACAUUUACGGUGAUACUCUUGAUACGCCUGAUUUUUCCAUUUGUUCCUUCUUCUCACUGUAGCUUCUGGUUAGUGCAAGCUUUUUCUUUACUCGGCGAACAUAAUUUAUUUUAAGACUAACUCCUAAAAUGUUUAUGAUAUAUUGCUUCUUCGUUCCCCUUCUUCGAAUGAUAUGAUCAUAUGGCGAGCAUAUGUACUUCUGUUGCAAAUGCUUUGCCUCGGUGUCAAUGUUUUUUGAGGAAUGCAUGAUUAAGGACCUGAGGGAACCCAUGUAAGAUACUGACAGUUGUCACCUUUCCUUGAAUGGUUCACACAUUCCCAAAGUUUGAAAGCAAAUGUAAGACAUCAAGCACUUAAUCAUGCCUCUAUCCGAAAUGAUUGGCGUCAUCUAGAUGAAUCCACUACAUUGUACGUAACACAAAAUGUCUAGCACAAAAAAAAAAGAUAUCAAACCUUUUCUUUCUCCCCUUCAAAAAGAUGUUUGGUUGGGAUAACAGGGUGUUUCAUCUUAGUAUGUAAAUAGGAAAUGAAG